AGAGUUUGAUCAUGGCUCAGAACGAACGCUGGCGGCAUGCCUAACACAUGCAAGUCGAACGCGUGGUUUCGGCCACGAGUGGCGCACGGGUGAGUAGCGCGUGGGAACCUGCCUUUGGGUUCGGGAUAACCGCGGGAAACUGCGGCUAAUACCGGAUGUCCCCUGUGGGGGAAAGAUUUAUCGCCCGAAGAGGGGCCCGC
RNAcentral lists this ribosomal RNA (200 nucleotides) under uncultured bacterium. RNAcentral describes it as "partial 16S ribosomal RNA". It matches the Rfam family "Bacterial small subunit ribosomal RNA", at positions 8 to 234 of the family's 1533-position model. The record is from RNAcentral.